Molecule: unclassified non-coding RNA, 323 nt
Filed under: Hevea brasiliensis (rubber tree)
Lineage: Eukaryota; Viridiplantae; Streptophyta; Magnoliopsida; Malpighiales; Euphorbiaceae
Source: RNAcentral
GAGUUGGGUAGUUGGAGACCCUUUUGAUCCAAAAGUCAAUCAGGGGCCUCAGGUUGAUAAGAAACAAUUCGAAAAAGUUCUCAGUUAUAUUGAAUAUGGUAAGCGAGAUGGAGCUACCUUGUUAACUGGAGGAAAGCCAUGUGGCGAGAAUGGAUAUUACAUUGAACCCACAAUCUUCACAGAUGUCAAGGAGGACAUGGUGAUAGCCCAAGACGAAAUAUUCGGUCCAGUCAUGUCUCUCAUGAAGUUCAAGACGGUCGAAGAGGCAAUCGAGAAAGCAAACAAUACGAGAUAUGGGCUAGCGGCUGGGAUCGUUACGAAGG